GACGAACGCUGGCGGCGUGCCUAAUACAUGCAAGUCGAGCGAAGUUUUUCUGGUGCUUGCACCGGAAAAACUUAGCGGCGAACGGGUGAGUAACACGUAAAGAACCUGCCUCAUAGACUGGGACAACUAUUGGAAACGAUAGCUAAUACCGGAUAACAGCAUUAACUGCAUGGUUGAUGUUUAAAAGUUGGUUUUGCUAACACUAUGAGAUGGCUUUGCGGUGCAUUAGCUAGUUGGUGGGGUAAAGGCCUACCAAGGCGACGAUGCAUAGCCGACCUGAGAGGGUGAUCGGCCACACUGGGACUGAGACACGGCCCAGACUCCUACGGGAGGCAGCAGUAGGGAAUCUUCCGCAAUGGGCGAAAGCCUGACGGAGCAACGCCGCGUGAGUGAAGAAGGAUUUCGGUUCGUAAAGCUCUGUUGUUAGGGAAGAAUGAUUGUGUAGUAACUAUACACAGUAGAGACGG
RNAcentral lists this ribosomal RNA (467 nucleotides) under Gemella haemolysans. RNAcentral describes it as "bacterial SSU rRNA". It matches the Rfam family "Bacterial small subunit ribosomal RNA", at positions 28 to 475 of the family's 1533-position model. Lineage: Bacteria; Bacillati; Bacillota; Bacilli; Caryophanales; Gemellaceae. The record is from RNAcentral.